This 295-nucleotide ribosomal RNA is filed under the name Streptomyces sp. JV178. RNAcentral's name for it is "partial 23S ribosomal RNA". It matches the Rfam family "Bacterial large subunit ribosomal RNA", at positions 1188 to 1468 of the family's 2925-position model. The record is from RNAcentral. Lineage: Bacteria; Bacillati; Actinomycetota; Actinomycetes; Kitasatosporales; Streptomycetaceae.
GUACCGCCGAAGUCGUGUCAUUCCAGCAUAUAGGGCCAACGCCUGCUGGGAUGGGUAGGGGAGCGUCGUGUGCCGGGUGAAGCCGCGCCGGAAGGCAGUGGUGGACGGUUCACGAGUGAGAAUGCAGGCAUGAGUAGCGAUACAAACGUGAGAAACGUUUGCGCCGAUUGACCAAGGGUUCCUGGGUCAAGCUGAUCUGCCCAGGGUAAGUCGGGACCUAAGGCGAGGCCGACAGGCGUAGUCGAUGGAUAACCGGUUGAUAUUCCGGUACCCGCUGUGAAGCGUCAAACAUCGA